This 1346-nucleotide ribosomal RNA is filed under the name Campylobacter jejuni. RNAcentral's name for it is "bacterial SSU rRNA". It matches the Rfam family "Bacterial small subunit ribosomal RNA", at positions 77 to 1438 of the family's 1533-position model. Lineage: Bacteria; Pseudomonadati; Campylobacterota; Epsilonproteobacteria; Campylobacterales; Campylobacteraceae. The record is from RNAcentral.
AGCUUGCUAGAAGUGGAUUAGUGGCGCACGGUUUGAGUAAGGUAUAGUUAAUCUGCCCUACACAAGAGGANNNCNGUUGGAAACGACUGCUAAUACUCUAUACUCCUGCUUANNNNAAGUUGAGUAGGGAAAGUUUUUCGGUGUAGGAUGAGACUAUAUAGUAUCAGCUAGUUGGUAAGGUAAUGGCUUACCAAGGCUAUGACGCUUAACUGGUCUGAGAGGAUGAUCAGUCACACUGGAACUGAGACACGGUCCAGACUCCUACGGGAGGCAGCAGUAGGGAAUAUUGCGCAAUGGGGGAAACCCUGACGCAGCAACGCCGCGUGGAGGAUGACACUUUUCGGAGCGUAAACUCCUUUUCUUAGGGAAGAAUUCUGACGGUACCUAAGGAAUAAGCACCGGCUAACUCCGUGCCAGCAGCCGCGGUAAUACGGAGGGUGCAAGCGUUACUCGGAAUCACUGGGCGUAAAGGGCGCGUAGGCGGAUUAUCAAGUCUCUUGUGAAAUCUAAUGGCUUAACCAUUAAACUGCUUGGGAAACUGAUAGUCUAGAGUGAGGGAGAGGCAGAUGGAAUUGGUGGUGUAGGGGUAAAAUCCGUAGAUAUCACCAAGAAUACCCAUUGCGAAGGCGAUUUGCUGGAACUCAACUGACGCUAAGGCGCGAAAGCGUGGGGAGCAAACAGGAUUAGAUACCCUGGUAGUCCACGCCCUAAACGAUGUACACUAGUUGUUGGGGUGCUAGUCAUCUCAGUAAUGCAGCUAACGCAUUAAGUGUACCGCCUGGGGAGUACGGUCGCAAGAUUAAAACUCAAAGGAAUAGACGGGGACCCGCACAAGCGGUGGAGCAUGUGGUUUAAUUCGAAGAUACGCGAAGAACCUUACCUGGGCUUGAUAUCCUAAGAACCUUAUAGAGAUAUGAGGGUGCUAGCUUGCUAGAACUUAGAGACAGGUGCUGCACGGCUGUCGUCAGCUCGUGUCGUGAGAUGUUGGGUUAAGUCCCGCAACGAGCGCAACCCAUGUAUUUAGUUGCUAACGGUUAGGCCGAGCACUCUAAAUAGACUGCCUUCGUAAGGAGGAGGAAGGUGUGGACGACGUCAAGUCAUCAUGGCCCUUAUGCCCAGGGCGACACACGUGCUACAAUGGCAUAUACAAUGAGACGCAAUACCGCGAGGUGGAGCAAAUCUAUAAAAUAUGUCCCAGUUCGGAUUGUUCUCUGCAACUCGAGAGCAUGAAGCCGGAAUCGCUAGUAAUCGUAGAUCAGCNAUGCUACGGUGAAUACGUUCCCGGGUCUUGUACUCACCGCCCGUCACACCAUGGGAGUUGAUUUCACUCGAAGCCGGAAUACUAA